This 649-nucleotide ribosomal RNA is filed under the name Triticum aestivum (bread wheat). Its description in RNAcentral is "partial small subunit ribosomal RNA". Lineage: Eukaryota; Viridiplantae; Streptophyta; Magnoliopsida; Poales; Poaceae. The record is from RNAcentral.
GGUAACCACAACUUGACAAGGACAACCAAUAAUGUACGUAUUUCCGAACACGCCCUGAACUUGCUUUUACAGAUUACAAAAAUUCCUCCGCUAACCUCAUUAACUCAACUUGUAAUAAUGUACUCGUAUUUCCCAACUCCUGAAUCACUGCUAUGAUUACCACUACCAUCCAAGUGCAAUAUCAGGACCAGUCACGCAAACGUACCUGCUAGUUUACUGUAACUGAAAUUAUCAGGGAACUCUGUGAACCAUCCCCACUUGCUUGCAUCUGCUACCCUUUUACCCUACUGCGGAUCUCUUGUCCAGCAAUACCACAGCAUUUUCUAGGAGACCUUUCAUGCAAGGCUUCCUACACACUCACGACUUCCCUUCGGGGAAGGUAAGUAAAACACUGACCUUGUACAGCUAGAAAUUCAGCAAGUUGUUGACAGUCCCGACUAACCAAAAUUACCCUUGCCCAGAUUCUUCAUAGCAAAGGUCUGUGCAGCUUCAGUAUUCGACUAGGACAGUCUGUGCAGCUUCUACUCGCUUAAUUCGCUGCUACUCAAUGUAAAAUAUUUGGGCACCAUGACAGUUCUAAUGCAACCGAUACAGAGGAGCUAACUGCAGUUCCCUCCACAUUUUCUCAUCCGGGCUUGGGACCGGCAAA